RNAcentral lists this long non-coding RNA (682 nucleotides) under Sorghum bicolor (sorghum). RNAcentral's name for it is "long non-coding RNA (SBIC_LNC011085)". The record is from RNAcentral. Lineage: Eukaryota; Viridiplantae; Streptophyta; Magnoliopsida; Poales; Poaceae.
GAUGGGAAAGGUAAACGCAAGGCCGAUUCAUUAUCGGAGAGUGCAAGCAAGGCAACAACAACACCCACCAGCACUUCCUAAAUAUGGUGAGUUCACUGAGUUAUUGGCUAGUUGCUAUCUCUACCUUGCAGCAAUAAUUAUGAACGUAAGUUUCUGUUAUUUAAUUUGUUUCUUUUAUUUGGUAGCUAUUGUCAUGCACUCAACAAGUGCUAGGAUGUGUUGUUGGCUUGCUGCUACGGUGCUACCUGCUGGUUGGUUGCUAUGAAGCCUUGAAGGACUGAUGGUGAAUGGCGAUGGCACUCUGCCAGGAUGUGCCCAUUCUGUCAUUUAUGAACCUAUGUAAUAUUACAAAUUUAUUUAGUGUUGUAAGCCUGUAAGUGUGUAGUCCACUAGUCCUGCUCCUGUAGUCCUAUCACUCUAUGAACUGAUGUUGUGAAGCCUGACACUGAAAAUUAAAGUGUGGUGCAAUUUAAUAUCUCAUAUCUGCCCGUCUGCACUAUGCACAAUACUGAUCAUCGGUCCUUUUUGGGUCAAACUGAACUGACCGAACAAAAAACCGAAGACCGAACUGUCGGUCUCUCGAUCUUCAGGUAAAACUUCGGUUGCUGAUAUCAGAAAACCGAAAUAAAAAACCCAAAAGAACCCAAAAAAAUCCGAACCAAAAUUUCGGUUAAGACCGAAU